Polypterus senegalus (gray bichir) is the source of this 461-nucleotide long non-coding RNA. RefSeq lists it as uncharacterized. The record is from RefSeq and is a predicted model, not a curated record. The transcript is spliced from 3 exons. Lineage: Eukaryota; Metazoa; Chordata; Cladistia; Polypteriformes; Polypteridae.
CCAGGCAUGAUUAUCCGGCAUCCUGUCUGGAAGAAAAGCAGGACCCUUACCAAGACGGGAAGCACAAAUCGAAGGACAGGAAUGGACUGGCAUCCCACCCAGGAUGGGGUCUUCCCCAGGUGAGAUGUUCCUUUUACAUUUCCCUGAAGAUGUGUCCAGGAAGCAUUAUAUUUACAUCGAACAACCUUAACUGGCUCCUCUCGAUAAAUACGCCCCAAGCAACUUUCUAUUUAGAAUUGAAACCCUGCUGGUUGCGUAUGUGUAAGCCACCCUGAAUGGCCAACGGCUAUGCUGAGCUUAAGCACACCGGCACUCUGAACCUUAAACUGCCUGCGCUGGAUAGGCUGCGAGGACCCCGGCGUGUAAAACUGAACAAGUGUGGAGGAGCCUGUACUGGCCAUUAUACCGGCUCCACAUGUGCCCAGACACACCACACCUUACAGCGCACCCACUAGAUGGAC